Triticum dicoccoides is the source of this 2879-nucleotide long non-coding RNA. RefSeq lists it as uncharacterized. Lineage: Eukaryota; Viridiplantae; Streptophyta; Magnoliopsida; Poales; Poaceae. The transcript has 2 exons. The record is from RefSeq and is a predicted model, not a curated record.
UGUCCCAUUUUUCCUAUCCCUUUCCCCUUUGCUCUCUUAGCCCUCGAGAAACCUAACGAAGCUGGCGGCUGAGGAGACGACUCGGCUGGUGCUUUGCUGGGCCGCUCCAAUGGCGACGUCGACCCCGUCGGCCGCUAUCUCCCUUGCCGCCGCCGCUCCACACUGAUUUCGCUGCCUCUGCGAUGCCUCCCUCCCUCCAAGGCGAUUGCAUCAUCCGAGGCGGGGUCACGGCACCUUCCCAGAUGCGGCGGAGGCACCACAUCCCAUGGCGACGGCGGCCUGGAGCUCCUCCCACUCUGCUUCGUCCCCACGUUGAUGCAGGCCAUCUGCAGUGAGAUCCUGCCGAGGUGCGCGGUCUUCUUGGUGGAUCCAGCUGAGGCGCGCGACGGGAUCCCGCGCGAGGGGAUCGAGGCGGUCCAGCGGCGCGUGUUCAUCUCGGUGGAUCCAGCCGAAGUGCACGAGGGAAUCAGCCUAGGGGUUGGAAUUGGUGACUGAGGAGGAGGCGGCGCCGGCGAGGGUGCACAAGCCGUGCACAAGGCCACGAUGACUCCACAAAGACUGUUGCGCUCUCCAUGACCCUCGAUCGCGUGCUCUCCGACCUCGACUCUCUCCUCAUCAUUGACGGGUGAAGAAAAUUUCUUCUAGCGGUGAGGCAGUGGGAAAUAAUCUUGAUGCAACAGCGGAAGUGAUACAGAUCCUAGCCUCCUCCCCUUGUGUAUGUUCUAGCAGAGACAGAUAGGAGAUUCAGAUAGGAGCGAUGGACAAAUUUUGUCUCCUCUAUGUUAAAUUUCGUUGAUCUUUUCUCUCCUAUACGUUGUCCGAUUUUCUUGAUUGUUGGCCAUAUAUUUGUGUACUCAAAAUGAUGCUGCCCAAUGUAUAUCUUCAGUAUAUGCUGCUGUCUAAUGCUUAUACAGCGGAGGGGAUGUUCCCGAGGAGCCGACCUAAAUGGCUCUGUCUACGCAGUAGCCGUGGAUUGGAUGCACAAUUGUUCCACUUUGCAAACAAGAACCAUGUCAGGAAGCCAUGAUCUGGAGUGGUCAUCGCUCAACAAACGUGAGGCAUCCUUCCUCAUUAACCCCCGUGGUUUGUAAAGCCUUGACUGUUCAACCCGCCUCUAUGUAGCUGCUAGCUAGACUGUUGAUUACUACUAAAUUUGUGAUUUUAUUAAUCUCAAGAUCGAUGCAGCAAAACCCCAUUGAAGAAACGUGCUAGAAGCCAGUUCCACGUUCGGCUAACCUGAACGUUCAUCGCUACCUAGGUAUGGCUGCCAAGUUUCCUUUAGUAAUGUAUAUGCAUCAUGUUCAGACAUGCCUGCAAGGCUCCAUCUAGGUAGAUGUUACGUACUAUAGCUUCCCACCACUAAUUUCAUUUCGUUUCUUGAUUGUAAGUUGAACAAACUGAAUCUACGUAUAUAUGCAAAAAUAUUUCACUAUGCAAGCUACAAUAUUUGGUCUGCACUUGCAAUAGUUUUACUGCACUUGGAAUACAAUGUCGUGAAGAAAAUUAUUGUGUUUGCUACAACCUUAGCUUGACAUACACAUAUUCUGAAAUGGUUGGCGUUCAAACAGAACAAAGGUUAGCAUCCUUGUUCGCUCACCCCCGUUUUAGAAUGGUUUUGCACGGUGCAGAUUCAUUGAAUGGCCGAGUAUUAAUUUCAUUGAAUCUGUGGUGCGAUGUCUAGCUAGCAAUUGAAAAAACCAAUUAGUUAAUAAAUUGAAGUGGUCUUUUUUUUUGCGGGUGAAUUGAAGCAGUCUUGUUUGCAAGUGUACCACUUGUUGUGUUCUUAAAGAAAAGGACUUGGCUUCUCUAGCUUCGCAAGUCUUUAAUAAACAUCAUAAUACAGAGAUUGGGCUCAUCGCUUUAUUGACAUGCAUGUCAUCAUUUGUGAGAAGUCAUUUCCAGUACCAUUGAUAUUACAAACAUGUUGACCAGGCGCAAACUGAAAUAGAUCCAUCGAAGAUGUUCAAAACUGUUGUCUUUUUGUGCUGUUGUGUUCUAUCUUCUUGAACAACCCAGCCCUCACAUUUGUAGUAUAGGCCUAGAAUAGGUGUUUACUUCAUUACUAACUCCAUUUAUUUUGACUUUCUCAUCGACAGUAAGUUGUAGUAAAAUACUGAAUCUACCGACAUGCAUUCUAGAAUGGUCAUCUUCAAACAAAGGUGAGACUCAUUUACUCCCCUGGUUCGGUUGUGAUUGUUCAAUCACUUUCCAUUAUCUGUAGCCUGGGUUCGCUGCUAGACUACCUUUUACUGUUCCAGUUGCAAAAUAUAUCUCUCAACGGAAUAUACUAACCGAGAAGGUUGAAAAAUCCCACGAGAAGACGACAUGCUAGCGGCCAGCUCUCCUUUUGCCAACAUGUGAAUCAAGGCUGCAUCGAUCGGCUAACUAAUGAGAUCAAUGAGUUUCUUCAUGAGGACCUCAGAUUGAUUUCCAAGUUUUCUCAUAGCUAGCAACUCCUCCAUCCGGGUUUAUUAGGCCGACCAAUAAAUUUAAGUAUGUCACAAAAAUUAUAUCAUCAGAAAGCUCUUUCAAAUACAAAUCCAAUCAUGUACUUUUUGUACCAUAUAUUUUAUAUUUUACUGGGAAUAUGGAUGGUCAAAGUUUGGCUCAAAAUAGUGGGGGGCCUAAUAAACCUGGACGGAGGUACUAGCUAGCAAGUCUAAUUAGUGAGUAAUAUAUUCAGACCUGCAGUCUCCAUCUUAAUUAGUUUAUUACUUAACAAUGCCCUCAACACCUGCACAGAAAACAAGGUCUGAUCCGUGGAACAGAUGAUACUAGCAAAAAUGUCUCUUACAGAUACUAGCAAAAAUGUUCUGUAGGUAAUGUUGUUAUUAUUGUUUCUUUCAUCAACAUACACCAUGUUAUGUAUGGAGCAAUUA